CCAAAAAAUAAAUUUUCCCAAAGUUUAGCAACUUAAAACAACAAAUAUUUAUUAUCUCAUAGAAUUUCUGAGGGUCAAGAACCCACAGAUGGGCUAACUGGAAGGUGCUGGAUCUUCAUGAGGAUUUCUGAUGAAGUUGUAGUCAAGCAUCAGCCAGGGCUGCAGUCAUCAGAAGGCUCAACUGGGAUCCUAUUCUAAGAGCUGCUGUCCCUUGGCCAGGAGGGGGCCUCUCCCAGCUCCUCCCAGCAACUCGGAGCAAUAAGUGAAGAUGUCAGCACCUUGGACAGCGCCCAACCCAUUACAGGACGCGGAGCCAGCGGAAGCCAAGCUCUCCACCUCCCUUAGCCUCUGGGUGAUGGAUUUCCUCUCUUCUCAAUUUGAUUAAAGCCCAGUAGAUAACCA
This is a long non-coding RNA of Homo sapiens (human), 402 nucleotides long. RefSeq lists it as uncharacterized. NCBI's taxonomy places the organism in Eukaryota, Metazoa, Chordata, Mammalia, Primates, Hominidae. The transcript has 2 exons. The record is from RefSeq and is a predicted model, not a curated record.